This 460-nucleotide ribosomal RNA is filed under the name uncultured bacterium. RNAcentral describes it as "partial 16S ribosomal RNA". It matches the Rfam family "Bacterial small subunit ribosomal RNA", at positions 338 to 795 of the family's 1533-position model. The record is from RNAcentral.
CCUACGGGAGGCAGCAGUGAGGAAUAUUGGUCAAUGGACGAGAGUCUGAACCAGCCAAGUAGCGUGAAGGAUGACUGCCCUAUGGGUUGUAAACUUCUUUUAUAUGGGAAUAAAAUGUUCCACGUGUGGGAUUUUGUAUGUACCAUCUGAAUAAGGAUCGGCUAACUCCGUGCCAGCAGCCGCGGUAAUACGGAGGAUCCGAGCGUUAUCCGGAUUUAUUGGGUUUAAAGGGAGCGUAGGUGGAUUGUUAAGUCAGUUGUGAAAGUUUGCGGCGCAACCGUAAAAUUGCAGUUGAAACUGGCAGUCUUGAGUACAGUAGAGGUGGGCGGAAUUCGUGGUGUAGCGGUGAAAUGCUUAGAUAUCACGAAGAACUCCGAUUGCGAAGGCAGUUCACUGGACUGCAACUGACACUGAGGCUCGAAAGUGUGGGUAUCAAACAGGAUUAGAUACCCGGGUAGUC